Molecule: ribosomal RNA, 201 nt
Filed under: uncultured Bacteroidota bacterium
Lineage: Bacteria; Pseudomonadati; Bacteroidota
Description: uncultured Bacteroidetes bacterium partial 16S ribosomal RNA
Rfam family: Bacterial small subunit ribosomal RNA
Source: RNAcentral
GCGCCAUUGUGUGACGGUACCUGACGAAUAAGCACCGGCUAACUCCGUGCCAGCAGCCGCGGUAAUACGGAGGGUGCAAGCGUUGUCCGGAUUUAUUGGGUUUAAAGGGUGCGUAGGUGGUUUUCUAAGUCUGGUUUGAAAGCUGGUCGCUUAACUAUCAGAUGUGGCUGGAAACUGGAGGACUUGAAUGCGUUGGCGGUA